AUCGCUUCUCGGCCUUUUGGCUAAGAUCAAGUGUAGAAUGUCUCACUGAAGAUCAUGAUUUUUUUGGUUGCCCUGGGUCUUUGUUGUGGCACAUGGGCUCUUCAUUGCUGAUGUGGGCUUUCUCUACUUGUGGCAAACGGGGG
RNAcentral lists this small nuclear RNA (143 nucleotides) under Moschus moschiferus (Siberian musk deer). RNAcentral's name for it is "U2 spliceosomal RNA (ENSMMSG00000018815.1)". It matches the Rfam family "U2 spliceosomal RNA". Rfam says of the family: U2 is a small nuclear RNA (snRNA) component of the spliceosome (involved in pre-mRNA splicing). Lineage: Eukaryota; Metazoa; Chordata; Mammalia; Artiodactyla; Moschidae. The record is from Rfam by way of RNAcentral.